AGCUGUUCCAUAAAGUGGAGAUUUCUCUGUUGAGAACUGCCCUGCAGAAAUCAAGCUGGCAUCAAAGCCUGGUCUUUUUAAUUCUGUUUCUUUCUGAGUUUUGCUGCAGCUCAUAAGUUAUAAUCAGAGGAAGGAAACGCCUGAGAGAUCUGAAGGUUUUAAUUGUUGUUGAGUGCAGAUGGUUUGGAUUACCGCACAGGAAUGGAGCUCAAGGAAGAGGGAAGUUUGGACACAGACACACACAGACAAGAGAAUACCAUGUGACAAAGGCAGAGAUUGGAAUGAUACAGCUGCAAGCCAGGGAUGCCAAGGAUUGCAGGUGAAGAGUCAAGGAAGGAUUCUACCCAGAGUUGCACGGCCUUAUUGACACCUUGAUUUGGGCUUCUAGACUCCAGAAUCAUGACAGAAUAAAUUUAUCUGUGUGGA
Molecule: long non-coding RNA, 426 nt
Organism: Homo sapiens (human)
Lineage: Eukaryota; Metazoa; Chordata; Mammalia; Primates; Hominidae
Gene: RASSF3-AS2
Product: RASSF3 antisense RNA 2
Exons: 2
Source: RefSeq, a predicted model, not a curated record